Molecule: long non-coding RNA, 2321 nt
Organism: Osmerus eperlanus (European smelt)
Lineage: Eukaryota; Metazoa; Chordata; Actinopteri; Osmeriformes; Osmeridae
Exons: 2
Source: RefSeq, a predicted model, not a curated record
UGGCAGAGAGUGUUUACUGAGGCACCAGGGGGGUGGGGGGCACCAGGGGGGUGAGCCUCCCUGGUGCCCCCCACGUCUCCAGCAGAGAACACAGCUAGAAGUUAGGUAGGUUUCGUCUUGUAAUCUGAAGGACUUUGAACCUAGAUGUAGUGAGUCUGAUAAAGAGUGUUAAACUGUGACGCUAACAUACAGAUCUGGGGUCUGAUGAACUAGAGGAGGUGUGUCCAUGCCUCACCUGAAGCACCCGCAGCUGAGCUGGAGGAGGUGUGUCCAUGCCUCACCUGAAGCACCCACAGCUCAGCAGCUGAGCUGGAGGAGGUGUGUCCAUGCCUCACCUGAAGCACCCACAGCUCAGCAGCUGAGCUGGAGGAGGUGUGUCCAUGCCUCACUUGAAGCACCCACAGCUCAGCAGCUGGGAGAAGACGACUGAAACGAUGAACUAAGGCAAUAAGUACAGAGCUGAUUUUGAUGUUCCUUUGGUUCUCUGGCAAAGCCGUUGGGUGUUCCUUAUGAUGUUUUUAACUAUAGCCUGCUAAUCAGUAUUUAAUGUUUUUAGGAGAAGAGUUCAACAAAAGGGACAGUUGCGUCCAUUUGCAUGGACGGUUAUUUUCUUUUCUUUUUUUUCACGGUUGUAUUACAUUUGUUUUUAUCAAAUAGAAGGUAUGCUCUUGAGGUACAGUGGCUAACUUGUAUAGUUGUCAUGGUAAUGUAUCUCACCAUCAGCAGUUUAUUUGUACCCUUGUUGAAGUGGAUAUCUGGACAGUGUCCCUUUUGACUGUUAAAUAUGUAGAAUUCUUGUUUCUCUUGUUAGGGAUGGCAGUGGUGCAGUCUUUUAUUUGGUCAUCAGUUGAUGUUGUUUUUGUUUUAAACAUUGAGAGAUGAAUGAGUCUUGCACUGAAAUCCCUCAUAACUGAACAUCAGUAUUACCACAGAACAAAUCAAGUGUUAAACAGACAAACAUAACAGGGCCAUCUAGUGGCUCAACAAUCCUAAAGUCCAGCAAGGAUCACACACACACACACACACACACACACUAUUAUGUUGGUGAUGGAUUUUAGUUUUGUUAGCUAUAUUUUAUAUCCUUUUGUUUUUCUUAUUAUUUUGUCUGUGAGGACCCCCAUAGUUUGGACUUUCCACUCAGGAACUCACUGUGAGGCCCGGUAAACGUGGUUUUCUUAUUAAUGGAGUUCAUGUCUAACAUGUAACUUGACCCUGGACUUUCCCAUGUUACUUUGUAAAUAUUUAACUCACUAUAUACUUUUUUUUUCUCUAAAAGAAGUAGAACUCCAGAGACUAGGGAUCCAAGAAAUCUUCAUUUUGUGAACGUAGCCGUCCAUUUUAAUAAUAAUGUUGUUUGUAACGGUUCACACAUCUCCAGUAUCGAUCAAAUACCAGGUCAGUCUGCCUGUGUCAGACUGUCAGUCUGCCUGUGUCAGACUGUGUCUGCCUGUGUCAGACUGUGUCUGCCUGUGUCAGACUGUCUGUCUGCCUGUGUCAGACUGUCAGUCUGCCUGUGUCAGACUGUCAGUCUGCCUGUGUCAGACUGUCAGUCUGCCUGUGUCAGACUGUCAGUCUGCCUGUGUCAGACUGAGGGCAGGUGGUGGGAUAAGUGAACGAUGUUGUGAGGAAGAAGAAAAACACUAAUAAACUUUGAUUGAUGGAUGCAGAUAACGGGACUAGAUGAUGAUGGUGGCAUGCUGUCUUGACGAGGGCCGAGUAAUUUAGACAGCCAUGUAAACAGGCUCACUGAAACAGGACUACUAGCGUGUCCUGAUUCCUCAAACAAGUUGACGAUUGGGAUGAGGUCUGUGGAUGCCAGUUCACUCUGAUAAAAAAAAAAUGGAAUCGGUUAAUUUUAUGAACAAACAGGAUGCAUGUUGUUAAUCCCCUUGAUUUAUUUGUUUUCUUAUGCAUUUGACGCAAUGCACUAUGAUUACCUAUUGUUUGCCAAAUUUAAUACAAAAAUUAAACGGGAUUGUGAACAUUUCUAACAUUUCUUAAUUUUAAUGAAAAAAAUAAACUGAAUUGAAAAUUCUUGGACCCCUGUUAAGGCAGUUGAAUGUAUAUCUUUGUACAAAACAAGUUUAGUUCUGAGGAUGUGGUAGUUACAGUAGACAUGUGAAAGAUAACCUUUUAUAAAUCUUUUGUAUUAGAACAUUAACGGUAAUUUUGUAUAUAUGAAGACUAGGCUUUCUGACUAGCAGAAAGGUUAAACAUUCCUACAUUUUUUUUAAAUGUAUGGUUGUCAAAUUAUUACGUAAACAUGCGCAAUGUUUUAUGUGCCUUUUAUUUGGGUUGUCUAAAUAAAAGAAAACCGUUAA